Molecule: long non-coding RNA, 1747 nt
Organism: Astatotilapia calliptera (eastern happy)
Lineage: Eukaryota; Metazoa; Chordata; Actinopteri; Cichliformes; Cichlidae
Source: Ensembl
CUGUUUGUAGGUUUGUCAAUGCCACGUCUCUGAGGACGCCUGCAAAAGGCCACACAAGCAUGCAGUGUGCAGAGUAAUGCCAUAAAUUUAUAAUGGUGUGAACAUGUUUGUGUGUUGGAUUUUAGUUUUUGAACUGCAGCACUGUGACAUUUAGAAGAAAAACGUAAGCAAGCUGCUGUGUUAAGGCCUACGCUCAUGUUGUGGCACUGGGCUUGAAAAGACAACAGAAACUACUCCCGGUGCACUUGAAUGUAAGCUAAGAUAAUAUGUCAAAUAUAGCUGGAGGAUAACAUUGCUGACCUCUUCUCCACUUGAUUCUAUAUUAAAGGUUUUUCAGACUAAUAAGGUAUUUUAUUUCAAAUUAAAAAGGCAAAAGCAAAACCUUAAGAUUUUAGAGUAAACACUUUUUGUUAUUGGCUGAACAGACAGACUGUCUGGUAUGUGAUCCUAUUGUGUUUUUUCUUUAUUUGAUGAAAGUGUGCAAUCAAUUUCAUCACAGCUCUCGUGGUCCAUGAUGAGAUUUUUUUUAGCUUUAUUUUUGUCUUCACCAUUAUAAAUAGCCCAGCUGUCCAUUUUCUUUUUUUUUUUUCUUCUUCUUCUUUUUUUUCAACAGUUUUCAUUAAAAGAAUUAAUACUGUUUACUUACUUAUCUGUAUUUAAGGGACAGGAAGGUAAAAAUCUAACAUAAGCCUCCUAUCCCCCUGUAUGCUGGCCUCUCUCUGGAGGUCUGUGGUUGGGGAAUUAUAGGCAGGCUGUAAGAGGCAUCUUUUUGGGACCAUUAGUCAAAGACGGGGACACUAUCAAGGCUUUGAUUAUAGUGGUAUGGAAUAUUCUCCCAGGAUCCACUCUUCUUUGUGCCAUUCAUCAAUUACCACCACUGCAGCAGCAACAUAGUCGCUAUUGUUCAUGUGCAUUUAAACACAGCAAUACAGACACACACACACACGCACACACAUGCACACGAGUGGAUGUAUACACAUUAUGCAGAGCAUGCACAAGCACUCUCAGACAUCCAUGCCCAUUAUCACAUACAGGCACUGAGGCAUGUGCAUGCACACACAUGCAAAUGGCAGGUGAAAUGGUAUGUGUGUACCCACCUGGUGUCUUCACACAAAUACAAAACUGUUCCAGAGGGUAAGCGUGCUGGAGUUUUCUGUUUAUGAUUACCAGAUCCUGGUACUGUUCAAUACCAUGGCAACACUACUGAGCCAGAAUAGUUAAUCAAUAACUAGGUGGCUAAGUAAACACUGAAAAGAUAUUCAUGGAUUGCAGAAGAUGACUCCUAAUGAUGCUGGUAAUUUUUAGCCAAUCAGGUUAAGGGCCAUGGUGGCAUGGGGAGGUUUGUAUCAGUCAGCAUGGGUCUGCUGCCAACAGUAAUUACUGCGGCUUAUUAAAAAAGCCUCACCUCUGCUAAUUUCAGUCAAUGAAACUUUGGACCAUAUGCCGGUAUGUUAUACUGCAUCACUUUUAAUAGAGUUUUUUUUUUUUGUUUUUUUUGUUUUUUUGGCCUGUCCCGUUUGGCUCUUUUGCCAUCAGAAUUGUUGUCUAAAGGCAAAGAAAGAUGCCCAACGGAUUUACUUUACCAAACUGACCAUCCCAGCCUUGCCGUAAUGGUCCAUUUGAUUCACCUUUUAUUGUUUAUUUUAUUUUCACUUACUGAAUACGGGACAGACUUGACUGGGGGAAAGAAGGGGAGAAAAAAAGAGGGAAAGAGAAACAGCUGAGAAGAGGGACGGGGGAGAAGGGC